CCUUCGAUAGCUCAGUUGGUAGAGCGGUGGACUGUAGAAGUAAUAAAUAUUGGAAUCCAUAGGUCGCUGGUUCAAAUCCGGCUCGAAGGA
This 90-nucleotide transfer RNA is filed under the name Papilio machaon (common yellow swallowtail). It matches the Rfam family "tRNA". Rfam says of the family: Transfer RNA (tRNA) molecules are approximately 80 nucleotides in length. Lineage: Eukaryota; Metazoa; Arthropoda; Insecta; Lepidoptera; Papilionidae. The record is from Rfam by way of RNAcentral.